This 29-nucleotide small RNA is filed under the name Bombyx mori (domestic silkworm). RNAcentral describes it as "ovarian small RNA-35872". Lineage: Eukaryota; Metazoa; Arthropoda; Insecta; Lepidoptera; Bombycidae. The record is from RNAcentral.
UGUGAAACUGGUACAUCAUCCUUCAACAC